UCCCCGCACGACAGUGCUACCGCGACCGAACCAGGCAAGGGCGAUUCACCCGAUCCCUAACCCCCUCGAUCGAAUCUGUGGCGCCGAGAGAAUCCCCUCGAUCCCCUCGUCCGAUUCCCGUAAUUGCCGCUGGUGUUCGCCCUCGAAGUCAACCGCACGGAUCUCGGAAAGCUCCGCCGCCUGAGCUCCCUGUUCCAGCCAAAUCCGGCGACAACCCUCUGGUUCGAGCUCCUCAGCCAACGAUCUCGCCGGAGCCCCAACUUCACUACAUCGCCAACAGAGGACGCCCCGUUUCGCCCUGCCUCAACCCGACGUUCCCGAUGACCGCCAGGACCACCUCCACACCACCUCAUCUUCGCCGGAGAGCCACCGGAGGCCUACGCCCGUAGCUGCCGCCGUUUUCCCCUGCUUCCGGUGAGCACACGCGCGCAAAUCCACUUCGGCCAACCCUAGCGUGACACGUGGCCACAUCUAAAGUAGCCGCGGCAGCAGCUCAAUUCGCUGCCAUGGCAGCAAUUUUAGCAUGUCAAAAACGCUGCCACGACAGAGUUUUUCAAAUAUUUCAAACCGAACUUCGUUCUACUAUAUCUUGAAAUCUGUAUAUCCAAACUCAAUGAAACUUUUCCUAUGUGUUCAUAUUGAUCUUACCUAUCCAAUGGAAUCAAUAGUUUCAACUUCUAAACUCUUCAAAUUGAUCAAUUCAAAUUUGUUUUCAAAUCAUGUGUUGAACAUAUCUUGAAAACUGUAUACCAUAUCCAGUUGAUUCCUUUUUCCUAUGAACAUUUGUAUCAAAUACUUGCUGAUCACAUCCUGUAUACUCAUUAUUCAAAUAAUUCUUGAACUGUUUUGAAUUCAAAUUCAAUUCUAACUUCGUUCCACUAUAAUUAGCAUUGUAGUGUUCCCCUAGUCCAUCAAUUCUUUUACAAAUGAAUUCUUAUGUCAUAUUCAAUAUGUCAUACAACAUUUAUGUUGUUCUCCAAUCACUUCUGAACCUAUUCUGUUAUAUCUCCACUAUACUCUUGUUUAUGGCAUAACUAUUCUUCUAUUUAACUCUUGUGAGUUGAUCCUUCCACCUUUCACUGUAUAGCACCACAGAGACCCAUAUUAUAAUAUUAAGCCCAGCUAUAUUGAUGUUGUUCAACCUUGCCAUAUUUGUUUUGCUGUUCUUUGGUUCGUAUGUAUGGCAUGGUUGUUUAUUUGGAUUCUUUCUUGUGCGAUAGCUUGCUCGGAGCGUGACCAGUAGAACUGUCAGGAAUUAUGAGUGCGACGAUCUUCAUCAAACUUACAUGCAGUUACACCUUGA
Triticum dicoccoides is the source of this 1303-nucleotide long non-coding RNA. RefSeq lists it as uncharacterized. Lineage: Eukaryota; Viridiplantae; Streptophyta; Magnoliopsida; Poales; Poaceae. The record is from RefSeq and is a predicted model, not a curated record. The transcript is spliced from 2 exons.